RNAcentral lists this ribosomal RNA (105 nucleotides) under uncultured bacterium. RNAcentral describes it as "partial 16S ribosomal RNA". It matches the Rfam family "Bacterial small subunit ribosomal RNA", at positions 1377 to 1482 of the family's 1533-position model. The record is from RNAcentral.
CCCGUUGUACACACCGCCCGUCACACCAUGGGAGUUGGUUCUACCCGAAGGUAGUGCGCUAACCGCAAGGAGGCAGCUAACCACGGUAGGGUCAGCGACUGGGUG